Oncorhynchus tshawytscha (Chinook salmon) is the source of this 5689-nucleotide long non-coding RNA. The record is from Ensembl. Lineage: Eukaryota; Metazoa; Chordata; Actinopteri; Salmoniformes; Salmonidae.
AUGAGAGUCGAUGGAACAGUGUGAGGAAGGAUACCAGAGAAUGGAGUUGGCUAGGAGUAUGCGGCAGCGCAGCGUGCUAAAGAGCGGUCAUCAGUCCGGUGCCAUAUGUGAUGGCUCCACGCACCAGAUCUCCAGUGCGCUUCCUCAGCCCGGUAUGUCCUGUGCCGGUUCCUCGCACUCGCCAUGAGGAGCGUGUCGCCAGUCCGCUGCCAAAGAAACCCCAAGAUUAUUUUUUGGGGGGGGUGGCACAUGGAGCUGGCGGUCAAGCAGCAGAGAGUGCCAGAGCCUGUUUGGGAGUUGGAGGAGAAGGAAUUUGAUGAAAGAUUCCGGGGAGAGCAGAUGGCAGCCCGACCUCCAUCCUCUUUAUUUCUGUCUUCUCUUCACGCAAAUGCCGGGGAUUUGGGCCUGUUCCUGGGAAAGCAGUAUGUCCUUCACAUCGGGUUCGUCGGACUCGUUAAAGGAAAUUUGUGGACUCUGGCCCAGUGUUCAUGUGCCCUGGCUGACUGUCUUGGGUAUAUGCCAAAUGUGAACAGAAAUUCUAUUUUAGUUUGUAAAUGGAGUCUCCUUGUUCUAAGGCAAGCUAUGGGCAACUCUGUCCAAAUCGUUAUCUGUAAAAACAUCAUAGAGGCCAAAUAGACAACACAAUAUGAGUUAGCUUUUCGUACGUUAAUGCUGCAUAAGUAGUGAUGUGAGUGUUUGUUUGAAAAUGGGUUCUUAACAUUGCAGCUACAAAUCCUAUAUGCAUACAUACUGGUGUUGAACUCCGCUCAACAUUUAUUUCCUUGUCCAUCAAUUUAUUUGGCUUAGCUAAUGUUAUUACAAGUUUAAAGUCAUUCAAAAAGAGCCAGAUUUGCUACUUAUUUUAUUGAUCUAUCUAUGCAUCACUUCCCCAUUGAAAUUCUCAUUUAUUAGAUUCUCACAGAAACUCAAGCUGCCAGCCAACAAACAAAAUGUACAUGAUUCCAGAUGAUGCUUAAUAUUUAUGGAACAAAACCAUUUACCAUGGAUUCUAUAAUUGGAUUUGUAAAUAGAAAGUUAAAGAGUCCAAUACAGGACAUUUCAUUAUAAAUGUUAUGCAUUUAGAUGGCUUUGUAUGUUACUGUAAACAUUACUACACAUUACAACAUAUUCCAGUGUGAUAACAUUUGCUUUGAGACACACAACUAUGACCUUUGGAUGGCAUUUUUUUAACAUUGUAUUUAUCCUUUAUUUACCUUAAUUUGACCACGGGACUGUUCCAACAAAAUCAGUAAUGACUUAUCAACGCCAUGGUAGCAAUGUAUGUGCCAAUUGUGCAAAUUAAAAAUGAAUACAAACAUUUAAUUAACUCUGUCUAUUUAUCAGUAUUUUCAGAGUCUGUGAAAGAUAUUGACCUUUUGAGGUAAGUCAUUCAACCUAGGUGCUCCAACAUUUACCUUUAGACUGAGGUAUAUGAGGUAUCUACCGGUGGCAAAGGAGUAGGACAUCUUAACACCUUUAAAAUAUUUAUGAAUCAAAACUCAGCCCUUUUGCACCACCACCAGCUAUUGCACUCAUAAUUCCCACUGUGAAAAUAGUACAAAAAAACAGACACCCCUAGACCUAUAGUGUUACUGCCAGCACUAAGACUUGCAAUAGCAUUAGGUUUGUUGAAAUAGGGUCCAUGGAGCGUCUGCCUUUGCAUUCAUGAGCAAUUACAGGACACAACUAAUCUCCAUAUGUGAUUUAUUUCAUAAACAAAGAAAAGUCUAUCAUCAUACCUCAGGUGUCACUUAUCUCCCAAGUCACAGCACAAAUCCUGCCUUCUCUGCCGUAAUACCCCCCCAACCCCCUGUUUUUUUGUGGUUGUUGAGAAAAGAGCUGUAAUUGGUCAAUUCUGAGAACUCCUGGGAGAACAAUAUGGUGUACUGUAGUAUGACAAUCAGUGCAAUUCACUAAUUAAUCAACAUAGCUUACAAAAUGAUUAGACCUAUUAUUACAACUUGAAAAUAUAAUAUGUGAACUGACACAAAAAUACAACUUUUUCACAUUAUAAUUACAUUUCAACUGAAAGUGUCACUUGACAACCUGCAGUAUUCCUCCUUUUCGUGCAUCCUCCGGUUUUGAAAUAGCUACGCAGAUCAGUGAAAUGCCAGCUUUCCUUUUGUCAGCUAUACUAGCUAGCUCGCUAGCUAGCCUUGGCUCUCACAAUUCACUCAUGUUGUUAAUAGUACUCAAACACAUUCUAACUUGGUAGCUAUGGGUUGCCUUCAAAAAACGCACUCAGUCACUCACCAACCAAACAAACAACAAUCUCAAAAAGCAGACAAAUCAAAAUAUUUGUUAAAAUAUCAGAAUAUCUAUCUUUUUCUGUACUGCCAGAUCAAAUUAGUUUAAUUCACUCAAACAGUGCACAAGUGCUGCCACUACUGUUGUCCCUGCUGAGUGAAUAACUCAAUUGGCUAGUAUUGCUGUCAGUAAAUAAAUGGGUGGGUGUAUGUUGAUUAUUCUGCAAUGAUUGCCACUUUUCUCCCUCCCUCCUCUCGAUCAGGCCCGCCUGUCAUUUUUCCAAAGACUAUUUCGGAGAUUUCCUUGGCAGAAGCACAAGGGAUAAAAUGUCUGUCCUUUUUUCUAGUACACUCUCAAAUCGAGCACUGUGUGUAAGAAGACCCUCACUGUCUUCUCACAAACUCCUCUCAAAUGCAACCUGAAUUUAUAGUAUCCACAAUGUUUAUAGUAUUUAAACAUUGAUGUCUCAAGUACAGGUAAAUUCAGAUCUGGCUAAUAGCUGCUAGCUAAAAACAUGCAUUAUUUAUAUUUCUAGAAUAGAAACAUAAACAUUUAAAGAAAGGCACAUAUUUCUGCUAAACAGAAGUGACACAGGUUAUGGUCAAAGUUUAUACAUGUCAGUAUGUCUGAAGGGGACAUAGUGAGUCAGGCAAAUGUGUCUUUCACGUCCUCAAUUUAAUACUAUUUCAUUCUCUUCAAUUAUGACAAAAUUUAAUAUGUUUGAAUAUACAGGAGGAUAUACAACAUGAUAUCAGAGGAAAAUGUACAGUACUUUGUAGUUAUAUAUGUCUUAAGGCCUCAUGUCUCUAAAUUAGCUAGUAUUUAAACAAUUCACAAGAAGGGUAUGCUGUGGUAUGAUGGUCACAUAAACAUGGUUAGCAGAUGUUAUUGCGAGUGUAGCAAAAUGCUUAUACCUCUAGAUCACACAGUGCCGCAGUAUCUAACAAUUCCACAACAAAACCUAAUAUCUAACAAAUUCCACAACAAAACCUAAUACACACAAUCUAGUAAAGGAAUGGGAUGAGAAUAUAUAAGUAUAAAUUAUAUGGAUGAGCAGUGACAGAGCGGCUAAGAUGCAAUAGAUAGUAAAGAAUAGAUAGUGAAGGAUACAGUAUACUGUCUAUGCAUAUGAGAUGAGUAAUGCGAGAUAUGCAAACAUUCUUAAAGUAGCAUUAUUAAAGUGACUGUUCCAUUUAUUAAAGUGGCCAAUGAGUCUGUAAUAGGUAGGCAGUCACCUCUCUGUGCUAGUGGUGGCUGUUUAACAAUCUGAUGGCUUUGACAUAGAGCCCGACAGGGUGCACUCAAUUGUGCACCUGUAAAAGUGUGUGAGGGUUUUCGGUGACAAGCCCAAUUUUUUCAGCCUCCUGAGGUUGAAGAGGCGCUGUUGCGCCUUCUUCGCCACACUGUCUGUGUGCGUGGACCAUUUCAGUUUGUCGGUGAUAUGUACACCGAGGAACUUAAAACUUUCCACCUACUCCACUCCUGUCCUGUCGACGUGGAUAGGAGGGUGCUCCCUUUGCUUUUUCCUGAAGUCCACAAUCAUCUCUUUUGUUUUGAAGACAUUGAGUGAGAGGUUAUUUUCCUGACACUACACGUCAAGUGGUAUAUGGAUGGAAUGCCCCUGUGUUGACUAAAAUGGCUGCACUUCAAAGACAUUUCUGUCAUUCAUGGUAUUAGACCUUUACCUGUUAGCGUUAAUCAGGGUAUUUUUCGGGGGCUAAAAUGGGUGAAGGUUAAGAACAAUAAACAUCUUCAAUGUCUUAUGAAGGGCACUAGAGAAGAGCCAUCCUGGUAAAACUACAGUAUAUUCAGGAGCAAUGACCUAGAUGGAAAGAUUAGAGCACAUGCAGUUAAACCUUUAAUCAGUACAUGGGAAGAGAAAAGAGAGACAGGAUAAACUGGAGAAGCUAGCUCUUCCUCAGGGGUCGAAGCCUUCAUCAGAUAGAACAGAAAACAAAUUACCAGAGGGAUAAACGGCUUCCUCCCCUGAGACAGAAUGGUAACAAUCUAGAUUAAGGAUCUUAUAUAUACAGAUCGAUACAUCCCUCAACAAACUAUUGGCGAGCCAUUAAUACUUAAUGAGAUCCUUUGAUGAGUAGGUUGACGACUCCCUUAGCGAUCUAUAAACAUAAGUAGAUGUCUGUGAUGUCUGUGUAUCUGGCAGCUGGAAACGCUGUCUAUGCUAUAGUGAUUGACUGAAACAUCUUGAUUUGUAUCUGUUUACACAAUUGGCCUAUGCGUAAAUCCUGGACUAUAAAUCUGUAAUGCUGAUUUUAAGGGACCUAGGAUACCAUAAUAUAUUUUCCUUAUGAACAAUAUUUAAUCUAUAGUCAAUUCUCAUUCUGACAAUAAUCGAAUGUAAUAGUGAAUGUGGAGGAAUUACUAAUAUAUUUAUUUAUUUAAACUUUUUUGGUUAAUACAGGCAUAGAUGAGGUUCACAUACAGUGCAUUCCAAAAGUAUUCACACCCUUGACAUCUUCCACAUUUUAUUUGUUACAGCCUGAAUUUAAAAUGUAUUAAACUGAGAUUUUGUGUCACUGGUCUACACACAAUACCACAUAAUGUCAAAGUGUAAUUAUGUUUUGGCCAUUACACACAUCACACUUCCAUGUUGUCUCAGUACUGCUACUUUGCAUUUAACAAAUUUACCAACGUCUUAGUUGUGUACACGCGCAACUUUUUUCAUUGCGUUUUUUUCACCCCGGACGCAUUUUCUGGAUUUGUUUCUACAGGAACUCCACCAGCCAAAAAAUAUAUGUAGUGACAUUAACGCUAUGCCAUCUAAUUGCUGCUGCUGUACUCCUAAUAUGCAGAACUAGCGCCUUAUGGUGAAGUAUAGCCAGGUUGCAAGCCCAGCUUCAGACGCAAUCGGCAAUUUAUGUGUAGGAAAGGAUGAAACAGCGACUGUGCCACCAGUAAGUACAGAUAGCAGUAUAACCCCCGCCCCCAUCACAGUCCCCGCCGCCGGACAAUUUUCUCAAGGCAUCUGAAAAGAAAUGCUGUUGGCAUACUCAACCGGUGUCGCUCAUUCAGCCAUCAGCAACUUUCAGCCGUCCUCCCCAUUAAGCAUCGAGUCGGUGUCAGAGACCGAGCCUUCUCAGGUCUCUACCCGUUACGGGGUCUGAGCAGCCGAAGCCUCCCAUCAUUAGCUCUGACAAAUUGAAAACCCUAUUCAUUGGUGACUCUAUAACCCGCAAUAUUAGACUUAAAAAGAAUCAUCCAGCGAUCAUACACUGUUUACCAGGGGGCAGGGCUACCGAAGUAAAGGCUAAUCUGAAGAUGGUGCUGGCUAAGCAUAAAACUGGUGACUGUAGAAAGUACAGUGCCUUGCGAAAGUAUUCGGCCCCCUUGAACUCUGCGACCUUUUGCCACAUUUCAGGCUUCAAACAUAAAGAUAUAAAACUGUAUUUUUUUGUGAAGAAUCAACAACAAGUGGGACACA